CAGAGGGGGCAAGCGUUGUUCGGAAUUACUGGGCGUAAAGGGCGCGUAGGCGGCCGCCUAAGUCAGACGUGAAAUCCCUCGGCUCAACCGGGGAACUGCGUCUGAUACUGGGUGGCUUGAAUCCGGGAGAGGGAUGCGGAAUUCCAGGUGUAGCGGUGAAAUGCGUAGAUAUCUGGAGGAACACCGGUGGCGAAGGCGGCAUCCUGGACCGGCAUUGACGCUGAGGCGCGAAAGCCAGGGGGGCAAACGGGAUUAGAUACCCCGGUAGUCCUGGCCCUAAACGAUGAGUGCUUGGUGUGGCGGGUAUCGAUCCCUGCCGUGCCGAAGCUAACGCAUUAAGCACUCCGCCUGGGGAGUACGGUCGCAAGGCUG
This 372-nucleotide ribosomal RNA is filed under the name uncultured organism. Its description in RNAcentral is "bacterial SSU rRNA". It matches the Rfam family "Bacterial small subunit ribosomal RNA", at positions 526 to 896 of the family's 1533-position model. The record is from RNAcentral.